UUAGGCGAGCUUCUCCAGCUCCUGGGUGAAGACGGCGGCGUGCGGCUCCUCGACGCACUGGAGCACGAGCCGGAUGCCCUGCUUCGGCUUGGGCGGCUUGAGGUACACCACCGACGGCACAAUGUUGACGUCGUCGUUCAAUGUGAAGACGUAGGUGGGCUCGCCGAAGCCGUAGUCGACGUCGUUGAACCCGACGUGGCUCCAGUCGGUCACCACCAGCGUGCCGUAGUCCAGCGACACGUUGUAGUGGCUGUCCUUGGCGCCGCCGCCCAGCCAGUCCAGGAACCGCGCCGACAGCGCGUCCUUGGCCUCCCGGAUCGCCGUCACGAUCUCCACCAGCGACGCCUCGGUCACCUCCUUGCUGGCCCUGGCGAGGCCGCCGGGGUACACGCAGUUGCCGUAGUAGCCGUCCGGCGACGGCAGGGAGCCGCCGAGCAGGUGGCGCGUGCCGGCGGCGAAGCCCAGGCGCACCUCGGCGUCGGGCGCGGACCCGAUGGCCGCGGCCCGGCACUUGAAGAUGAUGGCGGUCACCACGUCGAAGGUGGAGCAUCGCUGGGCCGUCUCGGCGGCGACCUGGUCCUUGACGCGCUUGAUGCUGUCCAGCGAGAUCUCGACGGUGGACUUGACGAAGUUGAAGGCCGUGAAGGACGGCGGCGGGCCGAGCGGCGGCUUGGGCGGGUUGGGGAUGGCGUCGCGGGACCAGAUCGGCUUGACCGACGGCUCCGGGAGCCCCCGCGCCAUCUCGCCGACGGCCGUGAGGAACUGCGCCGCGCCCUGCCCGUCGAACACCAGGUGGCUGAAGCAAAUGCCGACGGCGUACCCGCCGCAGCUGAACUUGGUGAUCUGCGCGAGGAGGAUCUGGUCCUCGAGCUUGUGGUCGGCGGGAGGGCGGGGGAUGAGGUCGGCCUUGGGGAUGGCGAGCGGGCGGUCCUCGAGGCCGUUGACGUCGGCGAGCGAGCAGCUGGCGGCGGCCUCCACGAACCAGACGCCCUCGCCGGUGCAGUCGACGAGGGGCUCGCCCGGGGACGGCUCGGCGAUGCGGCCGGCCACCGGGUAGUAGGGGACGAGCGCCCUGGCGAAGCCCUGGCGCAUGGCGGCCACCUGGUCGUCGGCGGAGGAGGGUGCGGACUGGAAGACCUGGAUGAAGUCAACCAUGACGCGGACGGCGGCGGUCUUGUCGAUGGAGGAGAGCGGGAGCGUGCCUCCCGGGGUCGGCCCCGCCGGGGGCACGAGCGCCGGCGGCGACUUGGCGACGGUGGGCGCGGGCGCGGCCAU
This 1275-nucleotide ribosomal RNA is filed under the name Triticum aestivum (bread wheat). RNAcentral describes it as "partial small subunit ribosomal RNA". Lineage: Eukaryota; Viridiplantae; Streptophyta; Magnoliopsida; Poales; Poaceae. The record is from RNAcentral.